UUUCAAUCUUCAAAAAUUAAUGGAUUUAUAAAAAUGUGAGGAGAGAUUUGCUAUUUCAUUUGUUAUUCAAACCAGAAACAUAUUGAAAUUCUACCAGCUAAGCACUGGACUGAAAGUUUCUCAGGGCAGAUUUCAAAUUAGGGUACAAAUACAAUUUACAAAUGUAUUUAAAAUUCUAAUUUGCAUUGAUCACACAAGAGAGAGCUAAAAAAGAGCAACUGGUGAGAAGUCCCUGUUCAUCUUUCUGUUGUGAUUGUCUGACCAUUUUACUCUUUCCUAGGGUGCCAAAUCCAUUUAAAAUUAGAGCAAAAACAUCUAGCCAAGUAAACCAGACAUUCUUUAUAUGAAUAAUUGCAUCUAAUGUAUGCUAAAGAUUGAGAAGAUGAUGGUCUAAAGGCAACUAAAUGUAUCUUAGGGAAUCUUUAGUUUUGAGAAUGAACAAAGCUGGAAUUUAAAAACAAUGCCCAGUUGAGUAUCUGGUGUCUUACUUAGAUGUAACUGAUUUUAAAGCUGGGUUUAUAAAUUCCUGCUCACUUGCUUAGAUCUUUUGACAAAUGUGUUUUUGAGAAGAAAACAGAGAAAAACAAAGAUUUUGAUUUUAAGCAUUUUUAUAGGGUGCAGUCACCAAAUGAAUGAAAGAAGAGGAAUUACAGCCAGAGAGAGUGUGAUGAGAGAGAUGGACUGUGAACCUAGUACAUUUGAUUUUAAACAUAUGACAUUGCCCUUCUAUAUUUUCUGAAGAGAUUGCUAACCUAUUGAAGUGGUUGCUUAGCCACGGAUGUGCUUUUCUGCAUACGAUUAAACUAUGUUAUCUUCCCUUCCUACCUCCAGACUUUUUUAGUGGCCUUGCAUUUUUGAGGAUUUUGUUGUUGUUGUUUUUAAUGCCAUAUGAAAAGGGGUAUUCUUUAAUCCUUUAGGCAUUGAGAGCUAGUUUCUACAGUAAGAUUAUGUUAAUAAUACCUGUUAAUAUUUGUUGACACCAGGAGUUAGAUGGUUGGCUAAGCAUUAUAUACGCAUUAUUUAAUUUAAUAUACAUACUUGCAUUAUGGUACUAUUUACUAUUUUUUUCUGACAUUGUACACGUGGAAUUUUAGGCUUAGAAAGGUAUCAGAAAGGAAUUUAGGCUCAGUAACUUGCCUAAAGUUUUGCAGAUCAUAAAUGAUAGAGAUGGAAUUUGAAUCUAGACCCCCUGACUUUAGAACUGUGGCCUUAACUACUGCUCUAUAGUGCCUUCUUUACUGCCCAGUAAAGCAGUCAUUAGGGAGGCUGGAUUAAAAGCAAAGUCAAAGCACUUAUAUUCUCUGUUGUGAUAGACACUUGGUUGUUUAUCAAAUAGCCAUUUCUACUUUCUGCCAAUUUUGUUCAGAUAUUGGGCAGCCAAGAACUUCAAGUACUUGGAGGAAGUUAAAUAGUGAUUAGUCUGAACCUAAGAGUGGUAAUUUCAUUAUUUUGCUACAAAUUAGUUAGGAAUGGCCUAAUGACACAAUUCCUAUCAAUAAUACAUAGCAAAGAUUUAAAGGCUGGGCAUAGUGGCUCAUGCCUGUAAUCCCAGCAUUUUGAGAGGCAGAGGUGGGCAGAUAACUUGAGGCCAGGAGUUUGAGGACAGCCUGGCCAACAUGGCAAAACCCCAUCUCUACCAAAAAUAUAAAAAUUAGGCAGGUGUGGUGGUACAGGCCUGUAAUCCCAG
RNAcentral lists this long non-coding RNA (1687 nucleotides) under Homo sapiens (human). RNAcentral's name for it is "HSALNT0187999". Lineage: Eukaryota; Metazoa; Chordata; Mammalia; Primates; Hominidae. The record is from RNAcentral.